UACAUUAGACUACCCGGGUAGUCCCAGCCGUAAACUAUGCUCGCUAGGUGUCAGGCAUGGCGCGACCGUGUCUGGUGCCGCAGGGAAGCCGUGAAGCGAGCCACCUGGGAAGUACGGCCGCAAGGCUGAAACUUAAAGGAAUUGGCGGGGGAGCACAACAACGGGUGGAGCCUGCGGUUUAAUUGGACUCAACGCCGGACAACUCACCGGGGACGACAGCAAUAUGUAGGCCAGGCUGAAGACCUUGCCUGAAUCGCUG
This 259-nucleotide ribosomal RNA is filed under the name uncultured archaeon. RNAcentral describes it as "partial 16S ribosomal RNA". It matches the Rfam family "Archaeal small subunit ribosomal RNA", at positions 725 to 982 of the family's 1478-position model. The record is from RNAcentral.